This 76-nucleotide transfer RNA is filed under the name Candidatus Pelagibacter sp. Its description in RNAcentral is "tRNA-Phe". It matches the Rfam family "tRNA". From Rfam's summary of the family: Transfer RNA (tRNA) molecules are approximately 80 nucleotides in length. Their secondary structure includes four short double-helical elements and three loops (D, anti-codon, and T loops). Lineage: Bacteria; Pseudomonadati; Pseudomonadota; Alphaproteobacteria; Candidatus Pelagibacterales; Candidatus Pelagibacteraceae. The record is from RNAcentral.
GGGUCUCUGGUGUAUGUGGUCGGCACAAAGGUCUGAAAAACCUUAGGUCGCAGUUCGAUUCUGCGGGGACCCACCA